GAUGAACGCUGGCGGCGUGCCUAAUACAUGCAAGUCGAGCGAACAGACGAGGAGCUUGCUCCUCUGACGUUAGCGGCGGACGGGUGAGUAGCACGUGGAUAACCUACCUAUAAGACUGGGAUAACUUCGGGAAACCGGAGCUAAUACCGGAUAAUAUAUUGAACCGCAUGGUUCAAUAGUGAAAGACGGUUUUGCUGUCACUUAUAGAUGGAUCCGCGCCGCAUUAGCUAGUUGGUAAGGUAACGGCUUACCAAGGCAACGAUGCGUAGCCGACCUGAGAGGGUGAUCGGCCACACUGGAACUGAGACACGGUCCAGACUCCUACGGGAGGCAGCAGUAGGGAAUCUUCCGCAAAGGGCGAAAGCUUGACGGAGCAACGCCGCGUGAGUGAUGAAGGUCUUCGGAUCGUAAAACUCUGUUAUUAGGGAAGAACAAAUGUGUAAGUAACUAUGCACGUCUUGACGGUACCUAAUCAGAAAGCCACGGCUAACUACGUG
RNAcentral lists this ribosomal RNA (497 nucleotides) under uncultured bacterium. Its description in RNAcentral is "partial 16S ribosomal RNA". It matches the Rfam family "Bacterial small subunit ribosomal RNA", at positions 28 to 507 of the family's 1533-position model. The record is from RNAcentral.